UAUACCGGUUCUCGUUAGAUCACCGAAGUCAAGCAUCAUUGGGCGCGGUUACUUGGGUGGGUGACCACCUGGGAGCACCGCGUGCCGUU
Non-coding RNA from Caerostris extrusa, 89 nucleotides. NCBI's taxonomy places the organism in Eukaryota, Metazoa, Arthropoda, Arachnida, Araneae, Araneidae. The record is from the annotation of a GenBank genome assembly.